UUGCGACAGGCUUAACACAUGCAAGUCGAGGGGCAGCACAGGUAGCAAUACCGGGUGGCGACCGGCGCACGGGUGAGUAACGCGUAUGCAACUUGCCUAUCAGAGGGGGAUAACCCGGCGAAAGUCGGACUAAUACCGCAUGAAGCAGGGAUCCCGCAUGGGAAUAUUUGCUAAAGAUUCAUCGCUGAUAGAUAGGCAUGCGUUCCAUUAGGCAGUUGGCGGGGUAACGGCCCACCAAACCGACGAUGGAUAGGGGUUCUGAGAGGAAGGUCCCCCACAUUGGUACUGAGACACGGACCAAACUCCUACGGGAGGCAGCAGUGAGGAAUAUUGGUCAAUGGCCGAGAGGCUGAACCAGCCAAGUCGCGUGAGGGAUGAAGGUUCUAUGGAUCGUAAACCUCUUUUAUAAGGGAAUAAAGUGCGGGACGCGUCCCGUUUUGUAUGUACCUUAUGAAUAAGGAUCGGCUAACUCCGUGCCAGCAGCCGCGGUAAUACGGAGGAUCCGAGCGUUAUCCGGAUUUAUUGGGUUUAAAGGGUGCGUAGGUGGCCUUUUAAGUCAGCGGUGAAAGUCUGUGGCUCAACCAUAGAAUUGCCGUUGAAACUGGGGGGCUUGAGUAUGUUUGAGGCAGGCGGAAUGCGUGGUGUAGCGGUGAAAUGCAUAGAUAUCACGCAGAACCCCGAUUGCGAAGGCAGCCUGCCAAGCCAUUACUGACGCUGAUGCACGAAAGCGUGGGGAUCAAACAGGAUUAGAUACCCUGGUAGUCCACGCAGUAAACGAUGAUCACUAGCUGUUUGCGAUACAUUGUAAGCGGCACAGCGAAAGCGUUAAGUGAUCCACCUGGGGAGUACGCCGGCAACGGUGAAACUCAAAGGAAUUGACGGGGGCCCGCACAAGCGGAGGAACAUGUGGUUUAAUUCGAUGAUACGCGAGGAACCUUACCCGGGUUUGAACGCAUUCGGACCGAGGUGGAAACACCUUUUCUAGCAAUAGCCGUUUGCGAGGUGCUGCAUGGUUGUCGUCAGCUCGUGCCGUGAGGUGUCGGCUUAAGUGCCAUAACGAGCGCAACCCUUGCCACUAGUUACUAACAGGUGAUGCUGAGGACUCUGGUGGGACUGCCAGCGUAAGCUGCGAGGAAGGCGGGGAUGACGUCAAAUCAACACGGCCCUUACAUCCGGGGCGACACACGUGUUACAAUGGCGUGGACAAAGGGAGGCCACCUGGCGACAGGGAGCGAAUCCCCAAACCACGUCUCAGUUCGGAUCGGAGUCUGCAACCCGACUCCGUGAAGCUGGAUUCGCUAGUAAUCGCGCAUCAGCCAUGGCGCGGUGAAUACGUUCCCGGGCCUUGUACACACCGCCCGUCAAGCCAUGGGAGCCGGGGGUACCUGAAGUCCGUAACCGCGAGGAUCGGCCUAGGGUAAAACUGGUGACUGGG
RNAcentral lists this ribosomal RNA (1435 nucleotides) under uncultured organism. Its description in RNAcentral is "SSU rRNA". It matches the Rfam family "Bacterial small subunit ribosomal RNA". The record is from RNAcentral.